This 1004-nucleotide ribosomal RNA is filed under the name Nectriopsis sp. RNAcentral describes it as "eukaryotic LSU rRNA". It matches the Rfam family "Eukaryotic large subunit ribosomal RNA", at positions 82 to 1120 of the family's 3401-position model. The record is from RNAcentral. Lineage: Eukaryota; Fungi; Ascomycota; Sordariomycetes; Hypocreales; Bionectriaceae.
AGUAACGGCGAGUGAAGCGGCAACAGCUCAAAUUUGAAAUCUGGCCCCAGGCCCGAGUUGUAAUUUGUAGAGGAUGUUUCUGACGAGGUACCUUCCGAGUUCCCUGGAACGGGACGCCAUAGAGGGUGAGAGCCCCGUACGGUUGGUCGCCAAGUCUCUGUGAAACUCCUUCGACGAGUCGAGUAGUUUGGGAAUGCUGCUCAAAAUGGGAGGUAUACGUCUUCUAAAGCUAAAUAUAGGCCAGAGACCGAUAGCGCACAAGUAGAGUGAUCGAAAGAUGAAAAGCACUUUGAAAAGAGGGUUAAAUAGUACGUGAAAUUGUUGAAAGGGAAGCGCACAUGACCAGACUUGGCCGGGUUAAUCAUCCAUCGUUCUCGGUGGUGCACUUUGCCCGGCCAGGCCAGCAUCAGUUCGCCUUGGGGGAUAAAGGCUUUGGGAAUGUGGCUCCUCCGGGAGUGUUAUAGCCCACUGCGCAAUACCCUGGGGUGGACUGAGGUUCGCGCAUCUGCAAGGAUGCUGGCGUAAUGGUCAUCUGCGACCCGUCUUGAAACACGGACCAAGGAGUCGUCUUCGUAUGCGAGUGUUCGGGUGUCAAACCCCUACGCGUAAUGAAAGUGAACGUAGGAGAGAGCUUCGGCGCAUCUCCGACCGAUCCUGAUGUUCUCGGAUGGAUUUGAGUAAGAGCAUACGGGGCCGGACCCGAAAGAAGGUGAACUAUGCCUGUAUAGGGUGAAGCCAGAGGAAACUCUGGUGGAGGCUCGCAGCGGUUCUGACGUGCAAAUCGAUCGUCAAAUAUGGGCAUGGGGGCGAAAGACUAAUCGAACCUUCUAGUAGCUGGUUUCCGCCGAAGUUUCCCUCAGGAUAGCAGUGUUGAACUCAGUUUUAUGAGGUAAAGCGAAUGAUUAGGGAAUCGGGGGCGCUUAUUAGCCUUCAUCCAUUCUCAAACUUUAAAUAUGUAAGAAGCCCUUGUUGCUUAGUUGAACGUGGGCAUUCGAAUGUAUCAA